GACGAACGCUGGCGGCGUGCCUAACACAUGCAAGUCGAACGGAAAGGCCCUGCUUUCUUGGGGUGCUCGCGUGGCGAAGGGGUGAGUAACACGUGAGUAACCCGCCCUUGACUUUGGGAUAACCUCAGGCAACUGGGGCUAAUACCGGAUAGGAGCUCCUGCUGCUUGGUGGGCGUUGGAAAGCUUCGGCGGUUGGGGAUGGACUCGCGGCUUACCGGCUUGUUGGUGGGGUAGUGGCAUACCAAGGCUUUGACGGGUAGUCGGCCUGGGAGGGUGGCCAGCGACAUUAGGACUGAGGUACGGCGCAGACUGCAAUGGGAGGCAACGGUGGAAAGUAUUAUACAGUGGGCGGGAGCGUGAUGCGACGGCGCCGCGUGCGGGAAGACGGCUAUCUGGUGGGAAAGCGCAUUCGCCUAAGACGAAGCGUUAGUGACGGUAACGGGUGAAGAAGCACCGGCUAACUACGUG
This 468-nucleotide ribosomal RNA is filed under the name uncultured bacterium. RNAcentral describes it as "partial 16S ribosomal RNA". It matches the Rfam family "Bacterial small subunit ribosomal RNA", at positions 28 to 507 of the family's 1533-position model. The record is from RNAcentral.